GACGAACGCUGGCGGCGUGCUUAACACAUGCAAGUCGAACGGAAAGGCCCCUUUGGGGGUACUCGAGUGGCGAACGGGUGAGUAACACGUGAGUAACCUGCCCUUGACUUCGGGAUAACUUCAGGAAACUGGGGCUAAUACCGGAUAGGAAUCCUUGCUGCAUGGUGGGGGUUGGAAAGCUUCGGCGGUUUUGGAUGGACUCGCGGCUUAUCAGCUUGUUGGUGGGGUAGUGGCUUACCAAGGCUUUGACGGGUAGCCGGCCUGAGAGGGCGACCGGCCACAUUGGGACUGAGAUACGGCCCAGACUCCUACGGGAGGCAGCAGUGGGGAAUAUUGCACAAUGGGCGGAAGCCUGAUGCAGCAACGCCGCGUGCGGGAUGACGGCCUUCGGGUUGUAAACCGCUUUCAGCAGGGGCGAAGCUUGUGGUGACGGUACCUGCAGAAGAAGCACCCGCUAACUACGUG
Molecule: ribosomal RNA, 465 nt
Filed under: uncultured bacterium
Lineage: Bacteria
Description: partial 16S ribosomal RNA
Rfam family: Bacterial small subunit ribosomal RNA
Source: RNAcentral